CCGGGUAACUCCGUGCCAGCAGCCGCGGUAAUACGGGGGGUGCGAGCGUUGUCCGGAAUCACUGGGCGUAAAGGGCGCGUAGGUGGUUUGAUAAGGGUGUGGUGAAAGUCCGGGGCUCAACCCCGGAUCUGCCGUGCCGACUGUCAAACUCGAGGGCUGUAGAGGCAGACGGAAUUCCGGGUGUAGCGGUGGAAUGCGUAGAGAUCCGGAGGAAGACCGGUGGCGAAGGCGGUCUGCUGGGCAGUUUCUGACACUGAUGCGCGACAGCGUGGGGAGCAAACAGGAUUAGAUACCCUGGUAGUCCACGCCGUAAACGAUGGGUACUAGGUGCCUGGGGGAGCGACCCUCUGGGUGCCGGCGCUAACGCAGGAAGUACCCCGCCUGGGGAGUACGACCGCAAGGUUGAAACUCAAAGGAAUUGACG
RNAcentral lists this ribosomal RNA (424 nucleotides) under uncultured bacterium. Its description in RNAcentral is "SSU rRNA". It matches the Rfam family "Bacterial small subunit ribosomal RNA", at positions 493 to 915 of the family's 1533-position model. The record is from RNAcentral.